Molecule: transfer RNA, 84 nt
Organism: Felis catus (domestic cat)
Lineage: Eukaryota; Metazoa; Chordata; Mammalia; Carnivora; Felidae
Rfam family: tRNA
About the family: Transfer RNA (tRNA) molecules are approximately 80 nucleotides in length. Their secondary structure includes four short double-helical elements and three loops (D, anti-codon, and T loops).
Source: Rfam
GCCUGGGUGGCUCAGUUGGUUAAGCGUCUGACUUCAGCUCAGGUCACGAUCUCACAGUUGUGAGUUCGAGCCCCAUGUCAGGCU